GAUAAUGAAGAAGUCGAUCUUAUAUGGAUAAAUAUUUACAUACUGAUGAUGUUGCCAAAAGAGGAGUAUUAAAAAAGAUAAGUCUUAUGUAAAGAUUAUAAGAGAAAAACAGUUGUUUAUAAAAUAUGUGGUAUUAAUGAUACAAAUUUCAAUUGUGUAUACAACCCAAGCAUCAUGUCCUUGUCAAAUUCUUAUGGAAGAGGUAGAAACAACGUCAUCUUUUUAGCAAUCAAUUAAAUCUGGGAACUAUGUUAAAGUUCUCCACUCUCCAGUUGUGAUGAGCUUUUGAAACUUGUUGACUUGUUGUUUCUUGACAGUCGCAUGAAUCAAAGUACCCUGUACGAAGCAAAGAAACAGACUUUAACAUUUGAUGUACACAUAAUAAUUAGAAGAGUAAAUCUAUACUAUUAGUAAGAAGAUGAUUAUAGAUGUAUCAGCAAGAAUCAUCUCGAUAGUCUCCUCGGAGUAUUGGGUGUAUUGAGUCCACGAAUGGACAAUUUUCACUUGGAUGUUCGGUGAUGGGAAGAUUUGCAGCCAUUGUUUCAGAGAUUUCCAAAUCGCAACCGUGAGCAUCAAUCCAGAUCGCAACAGUGAGGAUCAAGCUAAGGACUGGCGGGUCAAGUAUAGGGUCCGCGUGUGGAUCCGUAAGUUAGCCCAUCAUCCUCAUAAAUAACCGAUCCAAUAGCCCAUGAUCCAUGGAUAUUUGUCUAUCAAAUUAUACUUUUAACC
Molecule: long non-coding RNA, 729 nt
Organism: Arabidopsis lyrata subsp. lyrata
Lineage: Eukaryota; Viridiplantae; Streptophyta; Magnoliopsida; Brassicales; Brassicaceae
Exons: 4
Source: RefSeq, a predicted model, not a curated record